RNAcentral lists this ribosomal RNA (278 nucleotides) under uncultured bacterium. RNAcentral describes it as "partial 16S ribosomal RNA". It matches the Rfam family "Bacterial small subunit ribosomal RNA", at positions 1183 to 1460 of the family's 1533-position model. The record is from RNAcentral.
UAGAGUUUGAUCAUGGCCCUUACGGGAUGGGCUACACACGUGCUACAAUGGCAAGUACAGAGGGCAGCAAUACCGCGAGGUGGAGCGAAUCCCACAAAGCUUGUCGUAGUCCGGAUCGGAGUCUGCAACUCGACUCCGUGAAGUCGGAAUCGCUAGUAAUCGUAGAUCAGAAUGCUACGGUGAAUACGUUCCCGGGCCUUGUACACACCGCCCGUCACACCAUGGGAGUGGGUUGCAAAAGAAGUGGCUAGUUUAACCUUCGGGAGGACGGUCACCAC